This 88-nucleotide non-coding RNA is filed under the name Hydrogenophaga crassostreae. RNAcentral describes it as "SAH (S-adenosyl-L-homocysteine) riboswitch aptamer". It matches the Rfam family "SAH (S-adenosyl-L-homocysteine) riboswitch aptamer". Lineage: Bacteria; Pseudomonadati; Pseudomonadota; Betaproteobacteria; Burkholderiales; Comamonadaceae. The record is from Rfam by way of RNAcentral. RNAcentral also lists the same sequence under 1 other name.
GGAUCCGAGGAGCGUUGCAGCGCACCCCCGACACUGGUCGGCGAGGAGCGUGAGGCUCGGAACAUCAUUGCAACGACGCUCAUCCACU